RNAcentral lists this long non-coding RNA (375 nucleotides) under Ananas comosus (pineapple). Its description in RNAcentral is "long non-coding RNA (ACOM_LNC021282)". The record is from RNAcentral. Lineage: Eukaryota; Viridiplantae; Streptophyta; Magnoliopsida; Poales; Bromeliaceae.
CAAUGUCACACGAAAAGAUUCUCUUUCGAGGCCAGGGAAUAAUACAUCUACAUUAAUGCCACUAUUUAACUUUCUUGAAUAAUACCCCUGACAUACAAUCAUCUAUUUUUCAACGAAGAUUAUCAAACAUUCACAGUUCUCUGACAACGCCAUCAUACUAUAUAAUGAGUCAUCGUCUGUAACUUCUCCCACGUCGAAUUGAUUUCUAACAAUUGAGUAUCGAACUUUAAUAAUUAAAUGAUACUCAUCUCUUGAAAUAUCAAUCAAUCUAUAUAUUUUUCUCUCGAAUUCUGAAAAUGUAAUAUCCAUCGGGAUACCACUUAAUUUCUUACGACUGCUAAUAUACUAUGGAUUGCUAUCUUGCGCAACUAGUUG